Molecule: long non-coding RNA, 291 nt
Organism: Hibiscus syriacus
Lineage: Eukaryota; Viridiplantae; Streptophyta; Magnoliopsida; Malvales; Malvaceae
Exons: 3
Source: RefSeq, a predicted model, not a curated record
CUCAUUUCCCCCAAUUCUCCCUCGCCCUCUUCGUGUUCUCGCCUUUCUCCUCCCACCAUGAAAAUACCCACCCCUCGAGAGGAUCCUUAUCCCCAAGGAUCAAAAGAUGGAAACUGACCACGGAGCACCGAAUAAUCUUCCCAGGUGUCAUGCGAAUCGUUCAGGAGGCUCUGUCGAAGAUGAUACUGCUGGCCCAAUAUGCCUCUUCAACAUACUGACAUGAAAGACUGGGUGCAACCGAGAGUUCUCUGGGCAAGGGAUGUUUGACGAUAGGGUUGCAACUUCAGGUAA